This is a long non-coding RNA of Priapulus caudatus, 296 nucleotides long. RefSeq lists it as uncharacterized. The record is from RefSeq and is a predicted model, not a curated record. The transcript is spliced from 3 exons. NCBI's taxonomy places the organism in Eukaryota, Metazoa, Priapulida, Priapulimorpha, Priapulimorphida, Priapulidae.
UUCACACACGCUUGUUGAUCGACCGUUAAUUGAACGGUAGGUCUGAAAGAUAGUUGCUAGCAGAAUAGGUGAGAGGAAAGCGUGGGAGCCACAGUACAUGGAAUAUUCACAGGCAUCUGAGCUUCAGCAUCACAUAGAAAGGGUAUUUGGGCCACUCUACCCUACGCACGUGCUUCCAAUCCUCUCCUCCCAUCUACACGAGCUUCUCAAUGAACGUUACCAUGGUAACACGGUGGGUUUCUUCAAGCACUUUCUCUAUCCGGCUGCAAAACUUUUGGACCGACUCAGCAAAAGCU